This is a long non-coding RNA of Pygocentrus nattereri (red-bellied piranha), 2877 nucleotides long. RefSeq lists it as uncharacterized. The record is from RefSeq and is a predicted model, not a curated record. The transcript is spliced from 3 exons. Lineage: Eukaryota; Metazoa; Chordata; Actinopteri; Characiformes; Serrasalmidae.
AGGUAGCGGUGAGACCCGAGGGCUGUACUGACUCUGCGCGCGUUUCCUUCUUUUUUGUACUUUGUUUCUGAGUUAUUCGGUAAAGCUGAGAUAUGAACACAAUGUCACCUUUUCAGCUGUGCAGUAGCUGCUCUAGAGCUAGUUACAGUGUGACUGUGUUGAGGUGCGAUGGACCGGCGACCUGUCCAGGCGAUGGACUGGCGACCUGUCCAGGGUGUAUCCUGCCUUCCGCCCGAUGACUGCUGGGAUAGGCUCCAGUACCCCCCUGCGACCCUGACGGAGAAACGGCUUAGAAAAUGGAUGGAUCGAUGGAUGUGUUGAGGUGACUCCAGUGAGAAGGGGAGCAGCAACAGAUGGUGUUUGUGAUGAUAAUCACCAGCACCCCUCAUCAGAAUGCGUGCCUUACCAACACAGUUACCAUUCCCUAGGAAGACGAAGAAAAAAAAGCACAGGUAACCUAACAAGAUCAUUCCAACUACAGCCCAUCAGGGACUGGAAGAUAUCACUCUAUACAAGGCAUCAUUUUGCACACCGUCAGGCAGACUGAGUGAAGGCCUGAGCGGCGAUCAGUUAUUGAACUCAACUGCUCAGUGGCAUGAUUAAAAAUGCAAGGUAAGGAUCUGCCCUUCAGGAGCACGGCUAUCAAACACCUGCCUGUCAGCCGGCUAAUCUCCUCACCUCAUUGGCUUUGCAUGCCUGUUAAUAAUUCAGUAAGUGAAAGAUUAAUUGUUGCUCAUUCAAUUAUCUUUGUUACACCUCCAAACCCUCUUAGUAGGUACUUUUAUCAUUCAUGCAGUCCAGGAUUGAGAGACAAAACAGGCUCUAGACAGCAUCUGUCACAAACAACUUCCUCGCAGAAUCUGCAGGAAAGAAAAAAGUGAGUUAAUGAAGUUUUUUUUUUUCUUUUUAGUGAAGUUGAGGUGAAAAGAAACUGGAGCUGCAUCUGCUAGAGCCUGUCGCUCAAAAACCUCCCACACACACUUCACUCGGCGCAUCCGUCUGCAUAAUGGAGCAGCGCCAAGGUCACAGUUAUAACUAACCGUACAAGGCACUCAGGGAGAGACAUGCAACAGCAGAACCAUAAAAAUGUCAAAACACAUGAAAGUGUCAGUUGCAGGUUGCUCUCCAUUCGAGAACAUCUUUAAGGGCAAGGGAAAAAAAGAGUGUUUCACAUUUUGGGCUGAGUGAUGAAGACAGUCGCACCUUCUGAGAGUGACACUGGCUACAUGCUGCAAAAGCAUGGCCAGGUCAGGGAGAGACCGCGCCGUCCUUCUCAGCCACCCUGCUGCUGAUAAUGCCAUGAGCAGUGCACGGAUGUCAGCAUCACUGACAAGAACCUUGCAAAAUAAAAGUCAUUGUUUUUGUUAUUAAGUUUAAGUUAUUUUAUCACAGAUAUGUGUUCAUCUGAGCCAGAACUUUUUUGCUGAGUUCUUUUGUAUAUCUGAUUAGAUAACGGAAAAAGAACUGUGCUAAAUACAUCAACACAAGGAAAACCGCUGAAUAAAAAACAAUAGAUGAAUCCACAAAAUAAGUUGAUUGACGAGGGAGUCAAGAGAAGAAAAAACAUUUGGGAACACUUUACUGUAGGGCAGUAUUCAUAAGGCUACAUGGUACCUACAUAAGGUCAUCAUGACAACUGACAUAGAAUUACAUAACAUUAAUAAAGACUUUUUCCAAGGUAGUGUAAUAGUCAUGUAAUUUUAUGUUCAGGUUCAAACUGAAUCAUUGAAGGUAAUAAAUAUACUCUGAUUAAGCAUAUUUUGCUAAUUUAGCAAUAGCAAAAAAGAACAAUAUAAAUGGAAGAAAUAGUUAUUUUUAAAGCAUGUAAAAUGUAAUUAAUUCCUAUUGAGUACACAAGCUAGUGCCACUAACUGUCAGCUGACAGCCAUGAUAAAAAAAAUAUAUCUGCAUCUUCAGCAUUUCUAUUUUUGUUCAAAAUGACCUGCAUGGGUGUUGAAUGGUGGAAGUGCAUCUAGCUUGCACAUCAUUUUUACAUACAGUGACCUCCCAAACACAGCAGCACACUCAUUUCUGUAAACCCAUUGCUUUCUGCUGUUGGACGACGCUUCUGGGAUUUAGAGUAGCAAACUUCAUUUUCUUACACAGUUUGACAGCAUAAUCUAUUGAUGGGGAGAAACCUCCUUGCGCAGUAGGACUCUCUCUCUCUCUCUCUCUCUCUCUCUCUCUCUUUCUCUUUCUCCUUCUCUCUCUUCCUGUGACUCACCAACAGGCCACACAAAAUGACAUGGCAAAGGCCCUUCGGCAACUGAGGCUUUGGUCUAUAACUGUUGCAUAGGGAGAAAUAGCUCAUCUGUCUGCUCUCGCUAAUGACAGCAGGCAUAAGUGCUUUAUAGUUAUUCGUAGGACAUUAUUCAUUUAAAAUUCAUUUUAAUGAGCAGUGACACAUGUGUUGUCCCAUGAAAAGAUCUAAUAAAAUAUUUGCAGAAGAGUGUACUCACUUUUGUGAGAUAAUGUAUAUAAGUACGUGAAAGUCACACUUAUGAUAAAGCAUGGUGGCAAAUUCAUCAUUGUCUCCCACCAGCCAAGUUCCAGUUAGCUCCUAUAACACAGACCCAUUCAUGUCUCACCUACAAAUGCAUUCUUUUGUAGCAACCGUUGAUGACAUCUAAUAAAUUUAGGUUAGAGAUUACAGAACAUUAAGGGUCCUGUUUAAAUGCUAUGCUACUGUGCUGUAAUGGAGUACAGGCUUGUUCGGCAUGUUUCAGUCUGCCAGAUGUAUGUUUAUCAUAAAAAGAUAUUGUACACUGCACACACAAAAUAACAGAAUUGUAAGCUAUUACUGUACUGUGUCACUGUUUAUAUGCAGUUUACAGUUAGAACAAUUUAACAUUGUUCUUAUCUAUAUGCUUAUGACCA